Molecule: ribosomal RNA, 441 nt
Filed under: uncultured bacterium
Lineage: Bacteria
Description: bacterial SSU rRNA
Rfam family: Bacterial small subunit ribosomal RNA
Source: RNAcentral
AACGCGAAGAACCUUACCUGGGCUUGAACCGCACAGGACCAUCUCUAGAAAUAGGGACUUCCCGCAAGGACACUCGUAGAGGUGCUGCAUGGCUGUCGUCAGCUCGUGUCGUGAGAUGUUGGGUUAAGUCCCGCAACGAGCGCAACCCUUGUCUUCUGUUGCCAUCAGGUAAAGCUGGGCACUCUGGAGAGACUGCCGGUGAUAAACCGGAGGAAGGUGGGGAUGACGUCAAGUCAGCAUGGCCUUUAUGUCUGGGGCUACACACGUGCUACAAUGGCCGGCACAAACCGUCGCAAAACCGCGAGGUGGAGCUAAUCGGAUAAAGUCGGUCUCAGUUCGGAUAGCAGGCUGCAACUCGCCUGCUUGAAGUUGGAAUCGCUAGUAAUCGCGGAUCAGCACGCCGCGGUGAAUACGUUCCCGGGCCUUGUACACACCGGCUAC